Chelonia mydas (Green sea turtle) is the source of this 1280-nucleotide long non-coding RNA. RefSeq lists it as uncharacterized. NCBI's taxonomy places the organism in Eukaryota, Metazoa, Chordata, Testudines, Cheloniidae. The transcript has 3 exons. The record is from RefSeq and is a predicted model, not a curated record.
GUUUGGAAAGAGUUGGACCUAGCUGCCUGAAGGAACAAAGGGUACCGUGAGCUGAGCUGUAACUUUGCUACAGUUAGGACCACCACAGCUGUACUCUCUUCAACCACCUGUCCUACUGAUAAAUGGAGUCCCCACCGACAGACGGAUGAUUUGGCCACUAGAAGCCUGCUGCUGUGCCACUCGAGAGCCACACUCAGCUUUGGUGAGAUGAACUCCAGAAGCAAAAAAUCAUUGAGUAUGACUUCAGAUGAAGAGACUGAAGAUGUACUCUCAAAUGAUCCAGGCAUCCACGACAUACCGUACCAUACCAUUUUAGGAGAAAGGUAUAGUCCUUUAAGUUGGCAUUACACAAGGUGCCAGAGCGAAUGACCCACGUAUGUAUCCCUGCUAACCCCACUGAUCACUUGGUUCAGUUAACGUUCCUUAUGCAGAUGAAACGCAUCUACAAAUACAUACACAGAACUAAAUCAAAACGUGUCGUGAGGCUACUCGUGGGUCCUUCCAACCCUGUUCAAUAGCUAAUAAUAUGCCAUGAUGAUCCUCAUCCCAUGUUGCCAGGGCAGCAUUCCAGUUUAUGCAGAAUUUGCCAUUUGAAGACCAACACUAUGACACUUGCAGAGCUCCAUUUGUGGAUGUUUUUUCCAAGAAGCAGACAAAGGAGGAAAAACUUCCACUGACAAGGGGUGCAUUUAUGCCUGUUGUCAAGAGAGCAAAUUAUCAAGCAAUGGAAUGGCUCCAGAAAGAUUGAGUGCAUCUAAAACUACCCUCCCCUGUCAGAGCAUAGAUGGGUCUUGGAAGAUUGAUUAAAUCGGUUGUGUGAAAUACCAUGCACUCCUAAAUCAAUCCUUCAGCUAAUCAAAUGCUUCUGUGCAAAGACCAGAUGUUCACCACACUGCAAAUGGUUGGCCAGCAGCCUACCUUGUACAGAGAUGUGCGAGUGCAGCAUGGAUGAGGAUCAGUGUGUCUAGCAGAGGUGCCCUUGAUAGAAAUGACACUGAUGCUGACUAUGAUGAAAAAAUAUUUUCAGUCCUACAUGUUAAGGCUAACUUCCUUAGGAUUACCAAAGAGCCGUGUCUUUUUUUAUGUAAGCAAUGAAGCCCUAUGUUCAUGUUUAAUGUUAAAAGGUUGAUUUUUAAACACUUUCUUGACUAUAUAUCUACAUAAUUGUUCUAGGUCUGUCAUGUUUGGUAUCAUGUGUUCAUGGGAGAAAGAGCUUUUGAAUGAUAACAUAGCAUCAUAGAAAAUGGGUAUUAAAAUUUCCACCAACUGAAGGACCUGGA